GUUUACCCAGGAGGAUGGGCCAGGAGGAGCUCCGUCCGUGCUUCAUCCCCCUGCCCCGCCUCGACUCCCAGCCCAUGUCCGGUCAGGUGAGGCGCCCAGAGUACCUCGUGAGCAGCACCACCGCCUUGCUGACAGUGCCUGUGUGUCCCCCUAGCAACCCCCGACGAUGUUGUGGAGGCCGGUGGGAGUGAGAAGACCAAGGAGGAGGCCCUGGCUGGGGAAACUGAGGAGGAGAUGGGGCUGGGGACUGUGAAGGCAGAGGAGGAGGAGGAAAAGGAGGAAGCUGCAGCCAUAGACAAGGCGGAGGAGGAGGCGGGCCCGGCCCAUGAAAAUGACAAGGAGGAGUCGCCAGCCAGCGACCGGGCUGAGCAGGAAGACAAGCCUGCCCCCAAGGUGGACGGGACGGACGAUGAAAGCUUGUGGAGCAUUGUGAGUCUGUGUGGCAGCAACCACGAAGAAAGUGAUACAGACUUGGUGGCGGAGAGCACCGACUGCCGCCAGGAUGAGGAGGCUGCAGAAUCUUGCUUUGGGAGGAAAGGAUCUUGCUGCAGGAGUCUGAGGAUAUGUUUGUCCUCUGUGAGCUUGGCUAGAAUAAUCCCAUGGUGGCCACACAACAGAGUGCACCCUGCCACUGAGCCAGACGAAGAUACUGUGGAACCUGACUCAGUACAUUCAGCAACCCCCGACGAUGUUGUGGAGGCCGGUGGGAGUGAGAAGACCAAGGAGGAGGCCCUGGCUGGGGAAACUGAGGAGGAGAUGGGGCUGGGGACUGUGAAGGCAGAGGAGGAGGAGGAAAAGGAGGAAGCUGCAGCCAUAGACAAGGCGGAGGAGGAGGCGGGCCCGGCCCAUGAAAAUGACAAGGAGGAGUCGCCAGCCAGCGACCGGGCUGAGCAGGAAGACAAGCCUGCCCCCAAGGUGGACGGGACGGACGAUGAAAGCUCAAGGAGCAUUGUGAGUCUGUGUGAUAGUGACCACGAAGAAAGUGAUACAGACUUGGUGGCGGAGAGCACCGACUGCCGCCAGGAUGAGGAGGCUGCAGACUCCACUGGGACACCUUAAAGCCUCAGCCUGGGACUGGAAGAGUCCAAACGUUUCCAUCUUGACCAGGAAACAAGAUCGACCUCACUCUUCAUCUAUUACGAGCCAACUUUAGUAUAAGCUUAGUUCUUUAUUGUCUAGAUUUAGUAUUAAGUUCUGAUACAUGUUUACUACUUGGCAUUUAAGAUUUUGGUAGAAUGUAAGAUUUGUGUAUUAAGUAAUCGUUAUCUAUCUAUUUGCUUUUAAACUAGUUUUUGAUAAGAUAAACACAUGUAUAGGAGAGCCCCUUAAGCAGAGGUAGAACUUAAUGCACUGGCGUCAGGCAGUCACCCUGGUGUCCACCACCAGGAUCACCCCCUGUCCUGUCACCCGCAUCAGUCCUGUCUGAAGAAGGGGACUGUGGAUUUAGUCCUGACCAUCUGCCCUCAGGCCAGUUACUUUCCAGGGAUUCUGUGGCCUCACGUUAGUUUGUACCUUUGACCAUGGGACUCUGUCACGCUCCCUCUUUCAGGAUGACGUGGAUGGCCGGGCCUUGCAUGCCCAGACCCUGGCUGCUGGAACAUCCCUAACUCACCCUCUCUCCUCGUGUCUCUAACAUGUUUCUUUACAUCCCGUGCCUCGAGACGGUAUUUUUAAACCAUAUAGAGUGACACCGAAUGGGGCACAGAUAAAACUGUAAAAGCAAUUUUAAUAAAGUACACUUUGAUU
This 1746-nucleotide long non-coding RNA is filed under the name Sus scrofa (pig). Its description in RNAcentral is "lncRNA (ENSSSCG00025023266.1)". Lineage: Eukaryota; Metazoa; Chordata; Mammalia; Artiodactyla; Suidae. The record is from RNAcentral.